UGGGGAAUAUUGCACAAUGGGCGAAAGCCUGAUGCAGCGACGCCGCGUGAGGGAUGACGGCCUUCGGGUUGUAAACCUCUUUCAGCAGGGAAGAAGCGAAAGUGACGGUACCUGCAGAAGAAGCGCCGGCUAACUACGUGCCAACAGCCGCGGUAAUACGUAGGGCGCAAGCGUUGUCCGGAAUUAUUGGGCGUAAAGAGCUCGUAGGCGGUUAGUCGCGUCUGCUGUGAAAACUCGAGGCUCAACCUCGGGCUUGCAGUGGGUACGGGCUGACUAGAGUGCGGUAGGGGGUGACUGGAAUUCCUGGNGUAGCGGUGGAAUGCGCAGAUAUCCAGGAGGAACACCGAUGGGCGAAGGCAGGUCACUGGGCCGCAACUGACGCUGAGGAGCGAAAGCAUGGGGAGCGAACAGGAUUAGAUA
This 420-nucleotide ribosomal RNA is filed under the name uncultured bacterium. Its description in RNAcentral is "partial 16S ribosomal RNA". It matches the Rfam family "Bacterial small subunit ribosomal RNA", at positions 355 to 784 of the family's 1533-position model. The record is from RNAcentral.